CAGUAGCCGCGGUAAUACGUAGGUCCCGAGCGUUGUCCGGAUUUAUUGGGCGUAAAGCGGGCGCAGGCGGUUAGAUAAGUCUGAAGUUAAAGGCUGUGGCUUAACCAUAGUACGCUUUGGAAACUGUUUAACUUGAGUGCAAGAGGGGAGAGUGGAAUUCCAUGUGUAGCGGUGAAAUGCGUAGAUAUAUGGAUGAACACCGGUGGCGAAAGCGGCUCUCUGGCUUGUAACUGACGCUGAGGCUCGAAAGCGUGGGGAGCAAACAGGAUUAGAUACCCCUGUAGUCCCUGUCUCUUAUACC
This 301-nucleotide ribosomal RNA is filed under the name uncultured bacterium. RNAcentral's name for it is "partial 16S ribosomal RNA". It matches the Rfam family "Bacterial small subunit ribosomal RNA", at positions 509 to 808 of the family's 1533-position model. The record is from RNAcentral.